AUGCGGGCGAUGGUGAAGAAGCUGCUCGAUACCGUGCCGGACCGGCUGUACGUCCUGGUGGCCGGCAUCGAGCAGUUCUACGACGUCGAGGAGAUGCUCUUCGAGGAGGCGCUCAGUCGUUUGAAGGCCUUCGAGGAGCGGACGAGGCGGCACAUGCAGGCCGGCGGCGACCGGGCGGACAAGCAGCUGAUGCUCACCGGUGCUCAGUGGGCGGCGAGGAGGCGUCAGCAGGACGGAGGCGGCUUCGAUGACCAUGACGAUGACGGAGCGGCAAGCACGACAUCGGGCGGCGGAGGGAAGCGGCGAGGGCGCUGCUACAACUGCGGUCAGUGCGAGCAUUUCCGGCGCGAGUGCCCAAAGCCGCGGAAGGCACAGGCGGCAGAGCAGGCCUUCUUGCCGACGGCAACGACGAGUACGACGGGCUCCUCUAGGCCGUGGCUUAGGGUGUGUGUGUUGGCCAAUAAGCCACGGCCAGGGCACGUCAGGUGCGGGUGA
This 495-nucleotide ribosomal RNA is filed under the name Triticum aestivum (bread wheat). RNAcentral's name for it is "partial small subunit ribosomal RNA". Lineage: Eukaryota; Viridiplantae; Streptophyta; Magnoliopsida; Poales; Poaceae. The record is from RNAcentral.